Molecule: ribosomal RNA, 255 nt
Filed under: uncultured bacterium
Lineage: Bacteria
Description: partial small subunit ribosomal RNA
Rfam family: Bacterial small subunit ribosomal RNA
Source: RNAcentral
AGGACGAACGCUGGCGGCGUGCUUAACACAUGCAAGUCGAGCGGUGAUCCUCCUUCGGGAGGUGAUCAGCGGCGAACGGGUGAGUAACACGUGGGCGACCUGCCCUCACACUGGGAUAACCUCGGGAAACCGGGCUAAUACCGGAUACGACCUCGAGCGGCAUCUCUUGAGGUGGAAAGCUCCGACGGUGAGGGAUGGGCCCGCGGCCUAUCAGCUUGUUGGUGGGGUAAUGGCCUACCAAGGCGACGACGGGUA